GUCAACCGUUGUUGGUUGCGUAUGUAUGAGUGCGUGAGUGUAGUGGCGAGCUUUUUCACCCAGUUUUGGUAGCUUCGGCUUGUGA
This 85-nucleotide non-coding RNA is filed under the name Striatella unipunctata. The record is from RNAcentral. Lineage: Eukaryota; Bacillariophyta; Striatellaphyceae; Striatellales; Striatellaceae.